UACCGAUGCGAUGGUCCGGGCCUGGCUU
Molecule: non-coding RNA, 28 nt
Filed under: Bombyx mori (domestic silkworm)
Lineage: Eukaryota; Metazoa; Arthropoda; Insecta; Lepidoptera; Bombycidae
Source: RNAcentral